Molecule: long non-coding RNA, 3019 nt
Organism: Macrobrachium nipponense
Lineage: Eukaryota; Metazoa; Arthropoda; Malacostraca; Decapoda; Palaemonidae
Exons: 2
Source: RefSeq, a predicted model, not a curated record
UCUAUUUGCCUUUUAUGAAUUUAGAUCAGCCUUGUUUUUCUAGGUUCAAUUACUAGUUUUUAAGAAUCAUUUUGUGGCCUUUGUUUUGUAUGAACAUUUGUUUAUAUUAUUUUUGAAAUUUAAGUGUCUGUUGUCUGGUCAUUUUAAGUGUUUAGCGUAAAGUGCUUUAUUUAACGUUUCUCAGUGUGGUUAGGCACCUCCUCCCCGUUUGUUUAUAUUACCCAAGGCCAAUACAGUAGAGGUCAGACAGAGAAGAGAUUAUCGGUGACUCACCUUCCAGAGUGGGCCACAAUUCACCCCACCCCGACACAACAUUCCCACCUGACCCUUUUAAGUGACCCGUGGCCGACAACCACAACUUAGGGUCUUUCUGGAGAUGUGGCCCAUGAAAUUUGUCUCGACCGUUUCUCUCCGACUGACCUAUACUAUAUUGGCCUUGAUGUUACCGAACUAUCGUUUUAACGAUUGUUUUUCUUUUUUUAUACGAGUGUUUAUGAACGCGUCUUGGUGAUGUCUGGACGUUGGUGCUCGGACAGAGUUCAGUUCGGGUUAGAGCACUCCCCUGAUAUUAUACCUUGAGCAGCAUACUGAUUUGGACUUUGGAUGACGAUUAUUUGGCUGUUUAUUUUGGACGACGAUUCUUUGGAUUAUGCUUUGGAUCCUCGCCUUGGUCUGUUGUCUGCAGGUUCUCUAGUCACCUGCGAAUCAAGCGUCUCCUGCCUCGACCUGCGGCUUGAGUACGUCAAUAAGGUACUCGUAGGUGCUCCUGUCACCUGCGACUUGAGCCAUUCCUACCUUUCCCUGACGAGGAGGAAUUCCCAGGGUAUUGUUGCCGUCGCUUUCGUCUCCAAUCAGCUGCUAUGGUUUUCGGAGCUUGCUAGCUCGUGAGAUGGCCUGUAGGGAGGAUGAUGCCAGGUAAGACAGAGUGUCUGAUUUUCGUUUGGGAUCGCCUUUCCCUUUAUGGUAUUACUCUGGCGUUCAUGACCUGCCCUGAUAGCUGUUUUGGCGAGUGGAUCACGGCCCUAGUUUUGUCUCUCCUCUGAUGCAUCCACUGAUAAAUCUGGACGGACCACAACCCGCUGGUUUUCAUCGACCGCAUGAAAGGAGCCAACCAGAGAAUUUUACGUUGGGCUCUGCAAUUGCAAGAAUUCUCGCUUGUGAUAAAACACGUUAAGAGAUCAGAGAAUCGAAUUCCAGAUGCCCUUUCAAGGAUAUAGACUUGAUCACGAUUUGGCUCCUCUCCCCUCGCCCUUCUCGUCUCUUCAAUUGGUUUGCGUAGAUCUUAGAGAUGUGAGGAUGAGUAUGAGUGUGUGUUUAGCUUGGAGUUUGGUUUAUUGGUUAUUAGGUUUUCUUAGUGAGGCAUUUAAUGAUUUUGUCUGUUUUCUUUUGAACCAAAAGAAAACCUGUAGUGAUCAAAGUGCGGGCGGUCAUAACAGGUAGGCUAAUGUGGUAGUGUUUGUUAUGUGUAAACUCAAUAUUAUUGGCUGAAUUUGAGACAGUCAGUGUCUGGUGGUAACUAUUUUGUGUACUAAUUUGACCUUUUGGUUUAUUUUGAUUUGUUUUCUGUUGUUUAGGCUGGUAAGUUUUCUUUGUGUGACAAUUUAGUUAUUGAUAUUCGUGUGUUGUAAUAGUGUUAAUGACAAUUCUUAUUUCAGGUUUUAGACUGAGACUUUACUUUGUCUUGAGAGUGAUGUGUUAAAGAUUUUUUUCUAUUGGAAUAAUUUUUUUUUGUUUUGGGGGAGGAAGGUAUUAGAAAAGACUAGAUUAUUUCUAUUUGCCUAUUAUGAAUUUAGAUCAGCCUUGUUAUUCUAGGUUUAAUUACUAGUUUUUAAGAAUCAUUUUGUGGCAGAAUAGCCUUUGUUUUGUAUGAGCAUUUAUUUAUAUUAUUUUUGAAAUUUAAGUGUUUAGCGUAAAGUGCUUUAUUUAACGUUUCUCAGUGUGGUUAGGCGCCUCCUUCCAGUUUGUUUAUAUUACCGAACUAUCGUUUUAACGAUUGUUUUUCUUUUUUUUAUACGAGUGUUUAUAAACGCGUCUUGGUGAUGUCUGGACGUUGGUGCUCGGACAGAGUUCAGUUCGGGUUAGAGCACUCCCCUGAUAUUGAGCAGCAUACUGAUUUGGACUUUGGAUGACGAUUAUUUGGCUGUUUAUUUUGGACGACGAUUCUUUGGAUUAUGCUUUGGAUCCUCGCCUUGGCCUGUUGUCUGCAGGUUCUCUAGUCGCCUGCGACUCGAGUGUCUCCUGCCUCGACCUGCGGCUUGAGUACGUCAAUAAGGUACUCGCAGGUGCUCCUGUCACCUGCGACUUGAGCCAUUCCUACCUUUCCCUGACGAAGAGGAAUUCCCAGGGAAUUGUUGCCGUCGCUUUCGUCUCCAAUCAGCUGCUAUGGUUUCGGGACCUUGCUAGCUCGUGAGAUGGCCUGUAGGGAGGCUGACGCCAGGUAAGACAGAGUGUCUCUGAUUUUCGUUUGGGAUCGCCUUUCCCUUUAUGGUAUUACUCUGGCGUUCAUGACCUGCCCUGAUAGCUGUUUUGGCGAGUGGAUCACGGCCCUAGUUUUGUCUCUCCUCUGAUGCAUCCACUGAUGUGAGAACAAUUUAUAUAUAUAAUUUGCAUUAUUUAAUCAUAUACCUAUAUAUUUUGUCAUAUUUGUGUCGUGACUAUAUAACGUCACCCAGUGAGUCUAUUAUAGACAAGGCCUUGCGUGUUUAGCUUUGUGUUAUUAGUUAGGAUUUAUAAUAGUUUUCUUGUUUUAUUUACUCAGCCUUCCUUCUCUCUUUGGAUUAGUAUUAGGGUAGUUUUUUUUGGUCUGGCCAGCAAAGUUGUUGGAUCCAAACAAUGUCAAUUAUUAAUAACUAUUAUUUCCCCUUUCUGUUAGGAUUUAGUUUCUUAGUUUUAGGGAAUCCUGAGUGAUUCUAAGGACUGGUAUUUGUCCUUCCUUGUUUUUGAGUUAUGGUCUUUGUCACAUGAAACAAGGUUGAUUUAAAUUUUUGUAUUUGUUCAGUAUUAUAUAUUGUUAAGUUUU